This 480-nucleotide ribosomal RNA is filed under the name uncultured bacterium. RNAcentral's name for it is "bacterial SSU rRNA". It matches the Rfam family "Bacterial small subunit ribosomal RNA", at positions 903 to 1397 of the family's 1533-position model. The record is from RNAcentral.
AAAGGAAUAGACGGGGACCCGCACAAGCGGUGGAGGAUGUGGUUUAAUUCGAAGCUACGCGAAGAACCUUACCGAGGCUUGACAUCCCAGGAAGUCAGUCGAAAGACAGAUGUGCCUUCGGGAACCUGGUGACAGGUGCUGCAUGGCCGUCGUCAGCUCGUGUCGUGAGAUGUUGGGUUAAGUCCCGCAACGAGCGCAACCCUUGUCGUCUGUUGUCUUUUCAGACGAGACUGCCCGGGCCAACCGGGAGGAAGGUGGGGAUGACGUCUGGUCAGCAUGGCCCUUACGCCUCGGGCUACACACGUCCUACAAUGGGUAGUACAAUGGGCAGCCAAACCGCAAGGUGGAGCAAAUCCCAUCAAAACUACCCCCAGUUCGGAUAGAGGGCUGAAACUCGCCCUCUUGAAGUCGGAAUCGCUAGUAAUGGCGCGUCAGCAUAGCGCCGUGAAUACGUUCCCGGGUCUUGUACACACCGCCCGU